UUACAUAAAUGGUGACACCUCACAGCUGU
RNAcentral lists this non-coding RNA (29 nucleotides) under Mus musculus (house mouse). Lineage: Eukaryota; Metazoa; Chordata; Mammalia; Rodentia; Muridae. The record is from RNAcentral.